Molecule: long non-coding RNA, 745 nt
Organism: Fundulus heteroclitus (mummichog)
Lineage: Eukaryota; Metazoa; Chordata; Actinopteri; Cyprinodontiformes; Fundulidae
Exons: 4
Source: RefSeq, a predicted model, not a curated record
CAAGAUUUAAAAAAUUCCCUGUGUAUUACCUUUGACUACCGCUUUGGAUAGAUACAAAUUAAUAUAUUUUUAUUUUUUUUAUAUGUAUUUAUGAGUCUGGACUGACAUCCAUAUUUUUUAUUCUUCCUCCAUAGCUCAACGCAUCCAGUCUGUACCUUACAGAUGCAGCAAAUGUUGCAUUUUUUCCCCUUGAAAAUGGAAGUUUUAGCUCCAUUGACCUACAUAACCAUGAGCACUAUGAAGUCCAUGGCGAAGCAGGGGAGACUACGGAAACAGUACCAUACCACACUACCUCCCCUAGCACAUCUCGCCCAUUUUCUUUUCGUAGUGGCACGCCACCCACGGCAAACUUGAUCACAGUGGCGAGAUCAGCUUCCACACAAAGGGCUCUCCAUGUGUCUGAGGCGAAGGAGGGAAAGCUUGUUUCAACACGUGUGGUCAUGGUGCGUUUCACUGAGUCAGAGGCAACUGUGUCCAUCAUAUUGUCAAAAUUAAAAGUUGCCAUGGCAGAUGAGGAGGACUACACCCUCACUGACACCCUCGGGAAUGAAAUUGUUGAGUCUGAAGGGACAACUGGGUCUGUGUACUGGACACAAAAUGCCAGAAAAGUUUUGGCCGUCAAGAGAUCGACUUUUCGAGAAUUGCACCGGCGCCGUUCAAGCAACAGAAAUGAAGAAGUGAAAAUACUUUGUGAACAUGUGGAGGAACUGCUGGAGGCAUCUCAAGGGCUAGAAGAGGUUACCAG